RNAcentral lists this transfer RNA (72 nucleotides) under Candidatus Woesebacteria bacterium. Its description in RNAcentral is "tRNA-Thr". It matches the Rfam family "tRNA". Rfam says of the family: Transfer RNA (tRNA) molecules are approximately 80 nucleotides in length. Their secondary structure includes four short double-helical elements and three loops (D, anti-codon, and T loops). Lineage: Bacteria; Candidatus Woeseibacteriota. The record is from RNAcentral.
GCCCGAGUGGCUCAGUGGUAGAGCACAUUCUUGGUAAGAAUGCGGUCGUGGGUUCGAUUCCCACCUCGGGCU